UACGGAGGAUGCGAGCGUUAUCCGGAUUUAUUGGGUUUAAAGGGUGCGUAGGCGGGCUUUUAAGUCAGCGGUAAAAAUUCGGGGCUCAACCCCGUCCGGCCGUUGAAACUGGGGGUCUUGAGUGGGCGAGAAGAAGGCGGAAUACGUGGUGUAGCGGUGAAAUGCAUAGAUAUCACGCAGAACCCCGAUUGCGAAGGCAGCCUUCCGGCGCCCUACUGACGCUGAGGCACGAAAGUGCGGGGAUCGAACAGG
RNAcentral lists this ribosomal RNA (252 nucleotides) under uncultured bacterium. RNAcentral describes it as "partial 16S ribosomal RNA". It matches the Rfam family "Bacterial small subunit ribosomal RNA", at positions 524 to 776 of the family's 1533-position model. The record is from RNAcentral.